Molecule: ribosomal RNA, 427 nt
Filed under: uncultured bacterium
Lineage: Bacteria
Description: bacterial SSU rRNA
Rfam family: Bacterial small subunit ribosomal RNA
Source: RNAcentral
UGGGGAAUUUUGGACAAUGGGCGAAAGCCUGAUCCAGCCAUGCCGCGUGAGUGAAGAAGGCCUUCGGGUUGUAAAGCUCUUUUAGUCGGAAAGAAAGAGUUGCAAUGAAUAAUUGUGAUUUAUGACGGUACCGACAGAAAAAGCACCGGCUAACUACGUGCCAGCAGCCGCGGUAAUACGUAGGGUGCGAGCGUUAAUCAGAAUUACUGGGCGUAAAGGGUGCGCAGGCGGUCUUGCAAGUCAGAUGUGAAAGCCCCGGGCUUAACCUGGGAAUUGCGUUUGAAACUACCAGACUAGAGUGCAGGAGAGGGGAGUGGAAUUCCAUGUGUAGGAGUGAAAUGCGUAGAGAUGUGGAAGAACACCGAUGGCGAGGGCAGCUCCCUGGGUUGACACUGACGCUCAUGCACGAAAGCGUGGGGAGCAAACA